Molecule: ribosomal RNA, 327 nt
Filed under: uncultured eukaryote
Lineage: Eukaryota
Description: partial 18S ribosomal RNA
Rfam family: Eukaryotic small subunit ribosomal RNA
Source: RNAcentral
CCCUUAGAUGUUCUGGGCCACACGCGCGUUACACUGAUGAAGCCAGCGAGUAUAUCGCCUUCACCGGAAGGUGCGGGUAAUCUUGUGAAACUCCAUCGUGCUGGGGAUAGACCAUUGCAAUUAUUGGUCUUGAACGAGGAAUUCCUAGUAAGCAUGAGUCAUCAACUCGUGCUGAUUACGUCCCUGCCCUUUGUACACACCGCCCGUCGCUACUACCGAUUGAAUGGUUUAGUGAGAUCUCGGGAUUGGAGACGUUGCGCCGCAAGGCACAUCGUCCUCGAGAACUUGAUCAAACUUGAUCAUUUAGAGGAAGUAAAAGUCGUAACA